ACUUAAAUAGUUUAUGUAAAAUAUUGAUUUGUGGUAUCAAAGAAGUUUAGUUAAAUUUUAGGUU
This 64-nucleotide transfer RNA is filed under the name Anobiinae sp. GENSP01. Its description in RNAcentral is "tRNA-His". The record is from RNAcentral. Lineage: Eukaryota; Metazoa; Arthropoda; Insecta; Coleoptera; Ptinidae.